Molecule: ribosomal RNA, 301 nt
Filed under: uncultured bacterium
Lineage: Bacteria
Description: partial 16S ribosomal RNA
Rfam family: Bacterial small subunit ribosomal RNA
Source: RNAcentral
CAGCAGCCGCGGUAAUACGAAGGGGGCUAGCGUUGCUCGGAAUGACUGGGCGUAAAGGGCGCGUAGGCGGAUUGUUUAGUUAGGCGUGAAAUUCCUGGGCUUAACCUGGGGACUGCGCUUAAUACAGGCAGUCUAGAGUGAGGAAGAGGGUUGUGGAAUUCCCAGUGUAGAGGUGAAAUUCGUAGAUAUUGGGAAGAACACCGGUGGCGAAGGCGGCAACCUGGUCCUUGACUGACGCUGAGGCGCGAAAGCGUGGGGAGCAAACAGGAUUAGAUACCCGCGUAGUCCCUGUCUCUUAUAC